Non-coding RNA from Macaca mulatta (Rhesus monkey), 3234 nucleotides. The record is from RefSeq and is a predicted model, not a curated record. Lineage: Eukaryota; Metazoa; Chordata; Mammalia; Primates; Cercopithecidae.
CCUGGUGGGCUGGUCGGGGCGCGGGCAGGGGGGCAUGGUUCUGCCAAGGAUUUUGCUUUGUUUAUCGCAAGAUGGAGGUAUUUCCUCCUUUCUGCAGUUUAUAAUUGCAUGAAUUAGUGCAGUGAAUUGAGGAGGCAACAAAAAUAAUAUCUUCAAAGAUUAUUAAAUUCAUUAUUAUAAAACACAUACGAGUUUACGUGUAUGUAUAGAAAGCAGGUAUACAUCAAAAAUUCUUAAUGAAUACAAGAAAGAGAACUACCAAUACUGGAGCAAAUUUUUCAAAUACAAACAUCAGUGAAUAUAGGCAAGGCCUUUUAUUAUUAUUACUAUACUUUAAGUUCUAGGGUACAUGUGCACAACGUGCAGGUUUGUUACAUGGGUACACAUGUGCCAGCAACGCCUUUUCAAUAAUGUCUUACAAGGAGAAACGUGGCUCCUCUAGGUAAACAGCCCUCAGUGCGCAUCUCCCUGAAGUCCAGAUGGAUCCGGUAGAGCUGUGGGGUUCACAGCUCACACUGAGGCAUUUAGGGCCUAAACGCCACUUUACUUUUUUGUACAGUGAGUAGGAAAUCAGUGAUCUAAAUGAGUUUAAAUCUUAUUAGGGAUUCGAACUGCGCUUCAGACUCUGUCUCUAUUCCUCCCAGAGCUAGAUUCAACAUGAAUUAAAAUACAAAUAUAAAACAAUGAAUUAUGAUAGUGACAAAGACCUUCCUUCGAAUUUCAGAUUUUUCCAGCAGCCCCUUUCUGUUUCCCACCUGCUUUCAACUCUCUCCUAAAAAAGUUCAGUUGGGGUGAAUGUUUGGUGACGUAGAACAUCAUUAUUUUAACAUGAUCCCAAAGCGGUUUUCAUUAUAUGCAAAGAUGCAUAUUUAUUUACAUUUUUAAAAAUGUUCUAAAUUGGUUUCUUAUGUCCAAAAGAAGGGGAGCUAGUUAUAAGAAAAGAGAAUUGAGUAAGGUAAGAAAGUGCUAAUCAUUUCAAAUCAAAGUGGGAAACAUGCAAAGCAGAAAGAAUCAACUUCAUAAACUCAACAAAUUAUUAACGUAAAUAAUUCCCAACUCCUGUAUCUAUAUAACAUCAGUGAUCUGUGAGGUGAACUGAGAUUCUGAAUAAAAAGUAAAUAAUAAGGCCAUUUUUCUAAGCCAAAAAAGUUUUUGUCUUAUUAAUUGUGGGAUUUCACCAAUUAAUUUUUUUCAAAUAAAAUUUCUUAAACUUUUAGUGCCUACUAUUGCUUGUGGGUUAAUAAACCCUAGCAGAAAACAAAAUCAUCAAGGAAAUGGUAAACAUUAAUGGGAAAUUUGUGUAACCUUAAUAACGUGUCUUGUUAAUUACUUUUUAAAAUGUGAAGGUGUAUUCUUGGUGUUUGGUAAUUAACUAAGUUUAUUAACCUCUCACAAAUAUGAGGAAUUUUAUUCCCUAAAGGAACGUGAGGAACACUAGUAGUUCAAGAAAAUGCUGAAGGUGACCUUGGCUGAGAAGCUAGGAUAGGCUGACGAAGUCAGACUUUGUGUAGGAACCUGGCUGGGAAAGGGUUUCUUCUGGCCAUAAAAACUACCCCAAUGGCUGUGGCAGACUAAAUUCCAAUUCCGGUUGAUACAGCCAUCAAUCUCCCGCUAGCUGUAGGAUGGUGUGCUGCAGUUCACAGACCUAAGUCAAUGUUAGUCUACCACUGUACAUCUGGUAACCUCAGUCCCUGCAAUUGGGGCAAAAUGGGAUUCCAGGUCUUGCCAACCUUUGAAAUUCCAAUUCCAUUUGAGAGAGCUUUUAGGAGGCCAUAUGCUGAUUUCACCACCAGCAACUUCACAACCCAGUACUGGAAUGCCAUCAGCCACCAGGCCCCUGCCAUCAUCUAUGACUUCUAUCUGUGGCUCACUGGAAGGAAACUCAGCUACUGAAGGAAGAUAUCCUCAUCAACCCAAUUUUACAAAUGGAGAAAUAGAAGCUAAGGGAAGAAUCUGAAGUAGUCUCAAAGGAAGUGACAGGAAGGAUAUGGAGAAAGCAGAGUGUCAAAGUCAGUAUUCAGGACCAGAUUUACUGCCACCUAGAGAUGAAUGAAGAAAUUAGAGGGAACACAGUGUGCUGAUGCUACGUCAGCUGUCACCACCUGGCUGUGUGACAUAGGACAUAUUCUUUCUCAGUCUCACUUGAAUAAUAAUAUGUGUCAGAGGAGACAUUAUUGUAAUUGCCUAAAGCAAUUCUUGUGAUCAAGAAUCAGAAGCAUGAACAGUAUUGCCCUCUGUGUUAGCCCCUUUAUGAGGGAGGAAGUUGUCUUCAGCAUGUUGAAUUGUCAUCUUUAUUAGCAGUGCAAAUGACUAAAACUUAGCCAAUGUAGAGUUUAUCCAAAUCUUUUCAGACCUCAUUUGGAGCUCAUAACUCAGUUCUUGAGCAAAGGGAAAAGAAAACAUUGUGAUUAUGGGGAAAAUAUUUGUGUGGGACUUAUUAAGUAAAGAUAGGAAAAGAAGAACACCCAAAUAUUAUAGGCAGAAAUGCUAAAGGUUUUAAAAUGUGUCAGGAUUGGAAGAAGGCCUGGAUAAAGAACAAAGUUCAGUUAGGAAAGAGAAACACGGAAGGAAGAGACACAAAAAAAGUCAUUAUGUAUUCUGCGAGAAGUCAGACAAUAAGAUUUGUGGGAAAUGGGUUGGUUUGUUGUAUGGUAUGUAUUUUAGCAAUAAUCUUUAUGGCAGAGAAAGCUAAAAUCCUUUAGCUUGUGUGAAUGAUCACUUGCUGAAUUCCUCAAGGUAGGCAUGGUGAAGGAGGGUGUAGAGGAGACACAGGUACAAUGAACUGACCUAGAUAUAAAGCCUUAGUAUACACUCAGCUAGAAAUAGUGAUUCUGAGGACAUACUGUGACAUGAUUAUGUCAUUAUGUGUAUGGUAGUGAUGGGGAUGAUAGAAAGAAGAACUGAUGGCAUAUUUUCACUUCCCCUCAAAAUCAGUUAAAUAUUGGGACACUAUCCAGGUCUAGAAGAGUCACACGCCAUAGCCAUGGUAUGGCGCAUCAUUCAUCUUGCUUUCUUUGAGAAUAAGAAGAUCAGUAAAUAGUCCAGAAGUGGGAAGCUUUGUCCAGGCCUGUGUGUGAACCCAAUGUUUUGUUUAGAAAUAGAACAAGUAAGUUCACUGCUAUGGCAUAACACAAAAUUUGCUUAAGUGGUGGUCAGCAAAUCCUUGAAUGCUGCUUAAUGUGACAAAGUUGGUAAAAUCUUUUGUGCAACACUCUUACUCCCUGAAUGUUUUGC